CCCCCCAUUCAUGUCCCAUCCUUUGAACUAAAUAUUUCUCCUCAUACGGAGAAGCCCUUCGGAUUCGAGCGUGCUCUCCAGAGAUUUUUAAACAUCGCUUCUUAGAGGUUUACGCUGCAUAUUCAAUUAGAUAUCCUGCAAAUAACAUUUGAAGCAGCAUACCCACCCUAAUCCGCUGACCACAAACGCUACCAUCACAAUAUGAAUAUAUAUAUAUUGUGUGACAAUAUUAUCAUGGGACAUCAAUUCCAGGUAUAUCGAGAGCGUCUCGCUUUGGGAAUCAGCCUGUUUAAGAAUCCGCAAGCAUAGUCUAGUAGACCUGCGCGAUCUCCCUCACGGAACCAUACUGUUUCGCACAUUAAAUCGAGCUUCCUAAG
Molecule: small RNA, 377 nt
Filed under: Histoplasma ohiense
Lineage: Eukaryota; Fungi; Ascomycota; Eurotiomycetes; Onygenales; Ajellomycetaceae
Description: hypothetical lncRNA
Source: RNAcentral